RNAcentral lists this ribosomal RNA (492 nucleotides) under uncultured bacterium. RNAcentral's name for it is "partial 16S ribosomal RNA". It matches the Rfam family "Bacterial small subunit ribosomal RNA", at positions 29 to 507 of the family's 1533-position model. The record is from RNAcentral.
AGUGAACGCUGGCGGUAGGCCUAACACAUGCAAGUCGAACGGCAGCACAGUAAGAGCUUGCUCUUACGGGUGGCGAGUGGCGGACGGGUGAGGUAUACAUCGGAAUCUACUUUUUCGUGGGGGAUAACGUAGGGAAACUUACGCUAAUACCGCAUACGACCUACGGGUGAAAGCAGGGGAUCUUCUGACCUUGCGCGAUUGAAUGAGCCGAUGUCGGAUUAGCUAGUUGGCGGGGUAAAGGCCCACCAAGGCGACGAUCCGUAGCUGGUCUGAGAGGAUGAUCAGCCACACUGGAACUGAGACACGGUCCAGACUCCUACGGGAGGCAGCAGUGGGGAAUAUUGGACAAUGGGCGAAAGCCUGAUCCAGGCAUACCGCGUGGGUGAAGAAGGCGUUAGGGUUGUAAAGCCCUUUUGUUGGGAAAGAAAAGCAGCAGGUUAAUACCCCGCUGUUCUGACGGUACCCAAAGAAUAAGCACCGGCUAACUUCGUG